This is a non-coding RNA of Cynocephalus volans (Philippine flying lemur), 447 nucleotides long. Lineage: Eukaryota; Metazoa; Chordata; Mammalia; Dermoptera; Cynocephalidae. The record is from the annotation of a RefSeq genome assembly.
UCUCCAGGUGUCCUAUCCGAGGUGCAGCUGCAGGAGUCGGGCCCAGGACUGGUGAAGCCCUCGCAGACCCUCUCCCUCACCUGCACCGUCUCUGGUGACUCCAUCACAACCAGUAGUUACUACUGGCACUGGAUCCGCCAGCUCUCAGGGAAGGAGCUUGAGUGGAUGGGACUCAUCAGUUAUAGUGGAAGAACAGCUUAUAGCUCAUCCCUCAAGAGCCGCAUCUCCAUCACCAGAGACACGUCCACGAACCAGUUCUCCCUGCAGCUGAGCUCUGUGACCGACGAGGACACGGCCGUGUAUUUCUGUGCAAGACACACAGUGAUAGGAAGACAGCGUGAGCCCAGACACAAACCUCCCUGCAGGAUACAGGAGGGAUCUGGGCUGCAGGGGGCGCUCAAGGCCCACCCAGCUCCUGUGCCCCAUGGAGCAGGCCACACAGAGUGA